Molecule: ribosomal RNA, 510 nt
Filed under: uncultured bacterium
Lineage: Bacteria
Description: partial 16S ribosomal RNA
Rfam family: Bacterial small subunit ribosomal RNA
Source: RNAcentral
GACGAACGCUGGCGGCGUGCUUAACACAUGCAAGUCGAACGAAGAGCGAUGGAAGCUUGCUUCUAUCAAUCUUAGUGGCGAACGGGUGAGUAACGCGUAAUCAACCUGCCCUUCAGAGGGGGACAACAGUUGGAAACGACUGCUAAUACCGCAUACGAUCUAAUCUCGGCAUCGAGGAUAGAUGAAAGGUGGCCUCUACAUGUAAGCUAUCACUGAAGGAGGGGAUUGCGUCUGAUUAGCUAGUUGGAGGGGUAACGGCCCACCAAGGCGAUGAUCAGUAGCCGGUCUGAGAGGAUGAACGGCCACAUUGGGACUGAGACACGGCCCAGACUCCUACGGGAGGCAGCAGUGGGGAAUCUUCCGCAAUAGACGAAAGUCUGACGGAGCAACGCCGCGUGAGUGAUGACGGCCUUCGGGUUGUAAAGCUCGGUUAAUCGGGACGAAAGGCCUUCUUGCGAAUAGGGAGAAGGAUUGACGGUACCGGAAUAGAAAGCCACGGCUAACUACGUG